CAUAUUAAUAAGCGGAGGAAAAGAAACUAACAAGGAUUCCCUUAGUAAUGGCGAAUGAAAAGGGAAAGGCUCAAAUUUAAAAUCACUCACGUGAAUUGUAGUUUAUAAGAUAAAAGUCUCACAGCAACCACUGUCCAAGUGCUCUGGAAUGAACCAUCAUAGAGGGUGAAAUUCCCGUACUAAACAGAGAGGAAGCUGCAAAGAACUUUAAUCUAACGAGUCGUGUUGCUUGAUAAUGCAGCAUUAAUAGGGAGGUAAAUUCCUUCUAAAGCUAAAUACAAGAGAGAGACCGAUAGCAAACAAGUACCGUGAGGGAAAGAUGAAAGAGAACCCUGAAAAGGGGACUCAAAAGAAUGUGAAAUUGUCAAAAGGUAAGCGCUAAGAACUGUCCGUAGUUUGGAUUUUAAGAUUGAUGGGGUUUACUCCGUUGAAAUUAAGGUUCAGAUGGCUAUAGCUUUUGUCUCGACCUUUAAGAGCAUUGGGAUAAGGAUUGUAGGCUUCGGUUUACCUUUCUUUGAACUUUGCUUUUAAGAGUUGGGGCAGGAUGAAAAGUCUCAUGCUGUGGUAAACAUGUGGAACUUUAUUCAAUAGACUUGUCUAGAGAGUAUUAGGAAGUAUGUUUGCUACAUCAAGAGCACUUAUAGUUAGGAGGUUCUAAGCGUC
RNAcentral lists this ribosomal RNA (663 nucleotides) under Eryniopsis caroliniana. Its description in RNAcentral is "eukaryotic LSU rRNA". It matches the Rfam family "Eukaryotic large subunit ribosomal RNA", at positions 39 to 648 of the family's 3401-position model. The record is from RNAcentral. Lineage: Eukaryota; Fungi; Entomophthoromycota; Entomophthoromycetes; Entomophthorales; Entomophthoraceae.